UAGGGAAUAUUGGACAAUGGGGGCAACCCUGAUCCAGCCAUGCCGCGUGAGUGAAGAAGGCCCUCGGGUUGUAAAGCUCUUUUGUCCGGAAAGAAAAGCAUUCGGUGAAUACCCGGAUGUUCUGACGGUACCGGAAGAAUAAGCACCGGCUAACUUCGUGCCAGCAGCCGCGGUAAUACGAAGGGUGCAAGCGUUACUCGGAAUUACUGGGCGUAAAGCGUGCGUAGGUGGUUGUUUAAGUCUGAUGGGAAAGCCCUGGGCUCAACCUGGGAAUUGCAUUGGAAACUGUGCAGCUAGAGUGCGGUAGAGGGUAGUGGAAUUCCCGGUGUAGCAGUGAAAUGCGUAGAGAUCGGGAGGAACAUCUGUGGCGAAGGCGACUGCCUGGACCAGCACUGACACUGAGGCACGAAAGCGUGGGGAGCAAA
Molecule: ribosomal RNA, 425 nt
Filed under: uncultured bacterium
Lineage: Bacteria
Description: bacterial SSU rRNA
Rfam family: Bacterial small subunit ribosomal RNA
Source: RNAcentral